This 253-nucleotide ribosomal RNA is filed under the name uncultured bacterium. RNAcentral's name for it is "partial 16S ribosomal RNA". It matches the Rfam family "Bacterial small subunit ribosomal RNA", at positions 524 to 776 of the family's 1533-position model. The record is from RNAcentral.
UACAGAGGGUGCGAGCGUUGUCCGGAAUCACUGGGCGUAAAGGGCGCGUAGGUGGCGGCCCAAGUCCAUGGUGAAAGCUCGAUGCUCAACAUCGAGUCGGCCACGGAUACUGGGUUGCUCGAGCACUGUAGGGGCAGAUGGAAUUCCGGGUGUAGCGGUGGAAUGCGUAGAUAUUCGCAAGAACACCAGUGGCGAAGGCGGCUCACUGGCCCGAUACUGACGCUGAGGUGCGAAAGCGUGGGGAGCAAACAGG